Megalobrama amblycephala (Wuchang bream) is the source of this 1066-nucleotide long non-coding RNA. RefSeq lists it as uncharacterized. The transcript is spliced from 2 exons. Lineage: Eukaryota; Metazoa; Chordata; Actinopteri; Cypriniformes; Xenocyprididae. The record is from RefSeq and is a predicted model, not a curated record.
AUAAAAGAGCAGUGGAGGGACGCGGCUCAUUCACACCUGAUCACAGACUGACCACUUCCUCUCUGUCCAUCAUGAAGGGCUUGAUCUCAGGGUUCUGUGCGCUGCUGCUGCUGCUGCUGGCUCAGGAUAAUGCAGCAUCUUCAACCACUACAGAUACAAUAACAUCAACUGCAAUUAUAACAACGACAGCUUCAACGACAGCUUCAACUACAGCUUCAACGAUUGCAGAUACGUCAACUACGGCUUCAACGAUUGCAGAUACGUCAACUACGGCUUCAACGUCUACAGCUUUAACUGCCCUUUCAACUACAGCUUCAGCCACUGUUUCAACCACUGAUGCUUCUUCAACUACAACGACUACAGUUUCAAGCACUGCUGAAACCAGUGCAGAUACUUCAACAUCUCCACAGAUCUGAACACUCAUCUGACCAAUUCCACCUCUCCACCAUCAAACACCACCACAAGACAAACCCCGACUCUGACCACUGAAUCGUCCAGCGAGUCUCUGAGAGUUUCCGUCAUCGUCUCUUCUCUGUCAGUGCUGAUGUUCACGCUGAUGAUCUGAAGCUCUUCUGUAAAGAACUGUAGCAUAAGUAGACGAAUACAAAUGCAAUAUAAGUUGCUUUGUGACUGAAAAGCAUUCGGGUAAAUGCAUAAAUGUAGUAAACGGACGGAGGAGUUUUAUUGACUGAAUAUGUGUCUCAUGCCUGAAUGCUUGAAAUUAGCUUGACAAAUAUAAAUUGUGAAUUUCUGUUGAAUUUUAAUUAAAAUGCAAUGAACAUGUGCAUAAAAGUGAUCGAUGCAUCACUAACGAAGACUAAUUUAAAGAAUCCUAUGGUUUAUUCACAGAUGAAAACAUGAUGUCACUCCUGUCCUUUUCAUGAUGUUUUAUGAGAGUUUUCUGGAUUAAAGUAAUUGAUGUAAUCAGUCAUUUCCUUAUACUGGGUUUAUGAUUUCAUGACAUCUUGGGAAAACAUUGUAAAGUCUUUGGCUAAACGUCAUCAGAAUGUCAAAUGAUCCGACUGACUUUAUGGUUCUGGACUUUACUUUAUGGUCAGUGACUUAA